GGGCUCGCUUCGGCUUCACAUGCAUUCAAAUUGGAACGAUACAGAGGAGACUAGCAUGGCCCCUGUGCAAGGAUGACAUGCAAAUUCGCAAAGUGUUCCAUAUCUUA
Molecule: small nuclear RNA, 107 nt
Organism: Jaculus jaculus (lesser Egyptian jerboa)
Lineage: Eukaryota; Metazoa; Chordata; Mammalia; Rodentia; Dipodidae
Source: Ensembl